Molecule: long non-coding RNA, 221 nt
Filed under: Malus domestica (apple)
Lineage: Eukaryota; Viridiplantae; Streptophyta; Magnoliopsida; Rosales; Rosaceae
Description: long non-coding RNA (MDOM_LNC011482)
Source: RNAcentral
UCAAUUAAGUAUUGAACCCACAUUAAUACAUAAUAGAAUUUUUGACAGAAUUGUGACGGGAUGACACAUUGAUUUGCAACACCUAUUUUCAGGGACUACGUUGAUUGUUUUUCAAUUUCAAGGACCAUCUUGAUGGUGUGGAUCAAUUUCAGAGACCAUCUUGAUGGUGUGAGUCAAUUUCAGGGACGAUUUGUGAUAAAAACUCUUAUAUCUUGUGGACU